RNAcentral lists this long non-coding RNA (385 nucleotides) under Gallus gallus (chicken). The record is from RNAcentral. Lineage: Eukaryota; Metazoa; Chordata; Aves; Galliformes; Phasianidae.
GGUCCUCGCCGUCCCCCCAUAUUGGGCUCCCAGCCGCCUCCUGUCCCCACUCAGAGCCUGAGUCCUGUGGGUCGCUGAGCUCUGCAGCGGCAGCCCCCAGCCCAAUGACACCGUUCUCAUCCAUGUGCCUCUCAAAGUCUUCCUCCUCGUCGUCCUCGUCCUCCUCCUCCUCCUCCCAGCACUUGGGCUCCUGGCUGCCCAGCUCCGAUUGCGUCCAGCGCAGCCAGGGCGAGGAGCUGCCCAUGGUGUCCUGUGCUGUCCCCGUCACUUGUGCCGCCCCAUGGCACCGCAGCAGCCGGGGGUCUCAUCACCAACGUGGCUCACGUCACUGCUCGGCAUCCUGCAGGGCACGGCCCCCCCCCGGCCCCGUUCCGUUCCACUCCCG